UUUAAACACAUUUGUGGAUUUUCGUGUCCAACAUUUUAUCAUCGUUUUAUUUAAUUUUUUUUAUGAUUAGUAUUUUUGUUAUUAUUAGAUGAAACUUGAAUAGUAGCUUUAUGCAUGACUUUUGUUAUAUAUUUUUAUAAAUUUCUUAAAUAAGACGUACGGUUAAACGUUGUAUUUACGUGGAAUUUCACGACUGCCUUUUCA
MicroRNA precursor from Oryza sativa Japonica Group (Japanese rice), 204 nucleotides. It matches the Rfam family "MIR812 microRNA precursor family". The record is from Rfam. Lineage: Eukaryota; Viridiplantae; Streptophyta; Magnoliopsida; Poales; Poaceae.